This 460-nucleotide ribosomal RNA is filed under the name uncultured bacterium. RNAcentral's name for it is "partial 16S ribosomal RNA". It matches the Rfam family "Bacterial small subunit ribosomal RNA", at positions 338 to 795 of the family's 1533-position model. The record is from RNAcentral.
CCUACGGGAGGCAGCAGUGAGGAAUAUUGGUCAAUGGGCGCUAGCCUGAUCCAGCCACGUAGCGUGAAGGAUGACUGCCCUAUGGGUUGUAAACUUCUUUUCUAUGGGAAUAAAGUGCAGUAUGUAUACUGCUUUGCAUGUACCUUAUGAAUAAGGCUCGGCUAACUCCGUGCCAGCAGCCGCGGUAAUACGGAGGAUUCGAGCGUUAUCCGGAUUUAUUGGGUUUAAAGGGAGCGUAGGCGGGUUGUUAAGUCAGUUGUGAAAGUUUGCGGCUCAACCGUAAAAUUGCAGUUGAUACUGGCAUCCUUGAGUACAGUAGAGGUAGGCGGAAUUCGUGGUGUAGCGGUGAAAUGCGUAGAUAGCACGAAGAACUCCGAUUGCGAAGGCAGCCUGCUGGACUGUAACUGACGCUGAUGCUCGAAAGUGUGGGUAGCAAACAGGAUUAGAUACCCCAGUAGUC